CCCUUAGAUGUCCGGGGCCGCACGCGCGCUACACUGAAGGGAUCAGCGUGUUCUUUUCCUGGUCCGAAAGGAUCGGGUAACCCGCUGAACCCCCUUCGUGGUAGGGAUCGGAGCUUGCAAUUAUUCUCCGUGAACCAGGAAUUCCCAGUAAGCGCAAGUCAUAAGCUUGCGUUGAUUACGUCCCUGCCCUUUGUACACACCGCCCGUCGCUACUACCGAUUGGACGUUUUAGUGAGGAUUUUGGACUGAGCCAAUGGUGGUUCACACCACUGUUGUGCAUGGAAAGAUCUCCAAACUUGAGCGUUUAGAGGAAGUAAAAGUCGUAACA
Molecule: ribosomal RNA, 328 nt
Filed under: uncultured eukaryote
Lineage: Eukaryota
Description: partial 18S ribosomal RNA
Rfam family: Eukaryotic small subunit ribosomal RNA
Source: RNAcentral